This 588-nucleotide ribosomal RNA is filed under the name uncultured bacterium. RNAcentral's name for it is "bacterial SSU rRNA". It matches the Rfam family "Bacterial small subunit ribosomal RNA", at positions 337 to 917 of the family's 1533-position model. The record is from RNAcentral.
UCCUACGGGAGGCAGCAGUAGGGAAUCUUCCGCAAUGGACGAAAGUCUGACGGAGCAACGCCGCGUGAGCGAAGAAGGCCUUCGGGUCGUAAAGCUCUGUUGUAAGGGAAGAAUAAGUGCCAUUUAACUGAUGGCACCUUGACGGUACCUUACGAGAAAGCCACGGCUGACUACGUGCCAGCAGCCGCGGCAAUACGUAGGUGGCAAGCGUUGUCCGGAUUUAUUGGGCGUAAAGCGCGCGCAGGCGGUCCUUUAAGUCUGAUGUGAAAGCCCACGGCUCAACCGUGGAGGGUCAUUGGAAACUGGGGGACUUGAGUGCAUAAGAGGAAAGUGGAAUUCCACGUGUAGCGGUGAAAUGCGUAGAGAUGUGGAGGAACACCAGUGGCGAAGUCGAUUUUCUGGUCUGUAACUGACGCUGAGGCGCGAAAGCGUGGGGAGCAAACAGGAUUAGAUGCCCUGGUAGUCCACGCCGUAAACGAUGAGUGCUAAGUGUUAGGGGGUUUCCGCCCCUUAGUGCUGCAGCUAACGCAUUAAGCACUCCGCCUGGGGAGUACGGCCGCAAGGCUGAAACUCAAAGGAAUUGACGGA